CCUCUGUGGGCGGGGCGCUGCUGAUAGUCGUCGCAAUCACGAUUGUGUUAGUUGUGAUUUGGAGACGACGGUAUUGGAAUGUAGCGAAACGGAGCGAAUAUCAUGAUCUACUAUCUAAUAAGAAGGGUUCACACAACGAUACUGCCUCUGAUACUUCAUCCGACACAGGUAGCCAGAAGCUACACAGGGGCGAACACGUGUAUGAUAAUAAGGUGUAUCAGCACGGUGAAGACAAUAACAUAUAUGAUCCUCGGCACAGUUUGGCAUUCCAAGUCAAACUUGAUCACAUCGACCCGAA
Long non-coding RNA from Lingula anatina, 298 nucleotides. The record is from RefSeq and is a predicted model, not a curated record. Lineage: Eukaryota; Metazoa; Brachiopoda; Lingulata; Lingulida; Lingulidae.